Molecule: ribosomal RNA, 495 nt
Filed under: uncultured bacterium
Lineage: Bacteria
Description: partial 16S ribosomal RNA
Rfam family: Bacterial small subunit ribosomal RNA
Source: RNAcentral
GAUGAACGCUGGCGGCGUGCCUAAUACAUGCGAGUAGAACGCUGAAGGAGGAGCUUGCUCUUCUGGAUGAGUUGCGAACGGGUGAGUAACGCGUAGGUAACCUGCCUGGUAGCGGGGGAUAACUAUUGGAAACGAUAGCUAAUACCGCAUGACAACAGUUAUUGCAUGAUAACUGUUUAAAAGGGGCAACUGCUCCACUACCAGAUGGACCUGCGUUGUAUUAGCUAGUUGGUGAGGUAACGGCUCACCAAGGCGACGAUACAUAGCCGACCUGAGAGGGGGAUCGGCCACACUGGGACGGAGACACAGCCCAGACUCCUACGAGAGGCAGCAGUAGGGAAUCUUCGGCAAUGGACGGAAGUCUGACCGAGCAACGCCGCGUGAGUGAAGAAGGUUUUCGGAUCGUAAAGCUCUGUUGUAAGAGAAGAACGAGUGUGAGAGUGGAAAGUUCACACUGUGACGGUAUCUUACCAGAAAGGGACGGCUAACUACGUG